Molecule: ribosomal RNA, 120 nt
Filed under: uncultured bacterium
Lineage: Bacteria
Description: partial 16S ribosomal RNA
Rfam family: Bacterial small subunit ribosomal RNA
Source: RNAcentral
UCGCAGAAGGAGGAGCCCGCGUCCGAUUAGCUAGUUGGUGAGGUAAAGGCUCACCAAGGCAACGAUGGGUAGCCGGUCUGAGAGGACGGACGGCCACACUGGGACUGAGACACGGCCCAG